RNAcentral lists this ribosomal RNA (254 nucleotides) under uncultured bacterium. RNAcentral's name for it is "partial 16S ribosomal RNA". It matches the Rfam family "Bacterial small subunit ribosomal RNA", at positions 524 to 776 of the family's 1533-position model. The record is from RNAcentral.
UACGAAGGGGGCUAGCGUUGCUCGGAAUCACUGGGCGUAAAGCGCACGUAGGCGGAUCGUUAAGUCGGCGGUGAAAUCCUGGAGCUCAACUCCAGAACUGCCUUCGAUACUGGCGAUCUUGGAGUCCGGGAGAGGUGAGUGGAACUCCGAGUGUAGAGGUGAAAUUCGUAGAUAUUCGCAAGAACACCAGUGGCGAAGGCGGCUCACUGGCCCGGUACUGACGCUGAGGUGCGAAAGCGUGGGGAGCAAACAGG